This 113-nucleotide small RNA is filed under the name Arabidopsis thaliana (thale cress). RNAcentral describes it as "ATSL021390". Lineage: Eukaryota; Viridiplantae; Streptophyta; Magnoliopsida; Brassicales; Brassicaceae. The record is from RNAcentral.
UUGAAAGGGAGGGAUGAGGAUAUAAUUCCAUACGUCUGCAAAUCUGAAACACAGUGUUGAUACAAUUGACAUGCACUACCAUCUGACCUCUGUUUUAUUGUUGUUUUCAAUAC